RNAcentral lists this ribosomal RNA (229 nucleotides) under uncultured bacterium. Its description in RNAcentral is "partial 16S ribosomal RNA". It matches the Rfam family "Bacterial small subunit ribosomal RNA", at positions 568 to 796 of the family's 1533-position model. The record is from RNAcentral.
UGCGCAGGCGGGCUAAUAAGUCAGUGGUGAAAUCUCUCGGCUCAACCGGGAAACUGCCAUUGAUACUGUUAGUCUUGAGUUCGGUUGAGGUAGGCGGAAUGUGUAAUGUAGCGGUGAAAUGCUUAGAUAUUACACAGAACACCAAUUGCGUAGGCAGCUUACUAGACCGACACUGACGCUGAGGCACGAAAGCGUGGGGAGCGAACAGGAUUAGAUACCCUGGUAGUCC